CCUACGGGGUGCAGCAGUGGGGAAUAUUGCGCAAUGGGCGAAAGCCUGACGCAGCGACGCCGCGUGAGGGAUGAAGGUCUUCGGAUCGUAAACCUCUGUCAGCAGGGAAGAACGGUCACUGUGCUAAUCAGCAGUGAAUUGACGGUACCUGCAACGGAAGCACCGGCUAACUCCGUGCCAGCAGCCGCGGUAAUACGGAGGGUGCGAGCGUUAAUCGGAAUUACUGGGCGUAAAGCGCUCGUAGGCGGUAUGUCAAGUCAAGGGUGAAAUCCCCGCGCUCAACGUGGGAACUGCCUUUGAAACUGGCAAACUGGAGUGUGUGAGAGGAUAGUGGAAUUCCAGGUGUAGGGGUGAAAUGCGUAGAGAUCUGGAGGAACAUCAGUGGCGAAGGCGACUAUCUGGCACAUAACUGACGCUGAGGCGCGAAAGCGUGGGUAGCAAACAGGAUUAGAUACCCCGGUAGUC
This 465-nucleotide ribosomal RNA is filed under the name uncultured bacterium. RNAcentral's name for it is "partial 16S ribosomal RNA". It matches the Rfam family "Bacterial small subunit ribosomal RNA", at positions 338 to 795 of the family's 1533-position model. The record is from RNAcentral.